CUGGUCGGAAGAGUGACCAAGGCUAGUGCGUUCGAGGAACCGGGCCAGCGCGCAUCCCAAUGACAGCACCACCCCCCAACCCCACGCACACACACGGGCUGUAACCGAGAGCGGCCGCUGGGAUCUAACGGGAGUCCGAGUUGUAUACGGAUUGCCAGCUGGUUUGCAGGUUGCUGCGAGAGUGCGGACCCUUCUAGUGUGUGGUCCGGAUCGUCCUGGACCAGCUGCUCGUCCGAAGCUUUUGCGGGUCGGGGUACAACGCGGAAGGAGUACAGAACUAACUGCCUUUGGGACACUCCAAGAGGGAAGCAGUUGAAGAGGGUCGGAGACGGGGCAUGGCAGCUUUACGCACUGUCCACGCUGCACUCUUCUUCUCACUCCUUCCCCAGGUCUCCUGCCGCGGUACGUUCGAACUGAAGAUCCACCAAUUUGUGAACGGCGGGGGCUUAUUGGCGUCCGGCGGUCGCUGCGUGCCCGACUGCCGCACUUUCUUCCGGGUGUGCUUGAAGCAUUUCCAAGUGGUGGUGUCCCCGGAGCCGUGCACCUACGGAAGCGUCCUCUCCCCGUUCCUGGGCGACAGCAGCUCAUUCAGGGUGGCGGCCACUCAGAUCCCGCUCAGGCUGAACUUCACCUUCAAGUGGCCGGGAACUUUCUCCCUCAUCGUUGAAGCUUGGAACUCUCCCUCCAGCCAGCCGAGCCCCAAUGUAACCAGCCCUGAGAUGCUGAUCAGCCGUUUUGCUAUCCAGAGACACCAGUCUGUGAACGCGGUCUGGUCCCGGGACGUCCAGCGAGUGGGCCAUACCCAGCUGCACUACUCGUACCGGGUGAUCUGCACCCACCACUACUACGGCGAGGGCUGCUCCCAUUACUGCCGGCCCAGGAACGACACCUUUGGGCAUUACACCUGUGGACAGGAGGGGCAGCGGAUCUGUAUGGCCGGAUGGGAAAAUGAGUACUGCACACAGCCAAUCUGCCGAACUGGGUGCAGCACACAGCGUGGAUUCUGCAAUCGACCGGGUGAGUGCAAGUGCCAUUAUGGAUGGCAGGGAGAUUCAUGUACUGAGUGCGUGCGGCACCCGGGCUGUCUACAUGGGACUUGUGACCAACCCUUCCAGUGCAACUGUAGAGAGGGCUGGGGCGGACUCUUCUGUAACCAGGAUCUCAACUACUGCACCCACAACAAGCCCUGUCUGAACAACGCCACCUGCACCAACACCGGGCAAGGCAGUUUCACCUGCACCUGCCAGCCUGGCUUCACCGGCGUCCACUGCCAGUCUCCCGUGCCCAAGUGUGGCAGCAGUCCUUGCAGAAAUGGAGGAACCUGCACGGAGUCAGAGGAAAGAUACCACUGCUCUUGCCUUCCUGGCUAUGAUGGGCAGCAGUGUGAGAACAGUGCCCUGACCUGUGCUGACUUCCCCUGCUUCAACGGUGGCUCCUGCUAUAGGACAUCACGGGGAGCCUCUUACAUCUGUAGCUGUAGACCCGGCUUUUCUGGCACCAACUGUGAGCAGAAGGUGGAUCGAUGUUCCAGGAGCCCCUGUGCAAAUGGAGGCCGGUGCCUGGGUCUGGGACUGACCCGCAUGUGCCACUGCCCCCCAGGAUUCGCCGGCCAGAGCUGUGAGAUCAACAUUAACGACUGCGCCCCGAACCCGUGCCUCCACGGCGGCAGCUGCUUGGACCAGGUGAACGGUUACCACUGCCUGUGCUCCGCCGGCUACACGGGCCGGAACUGCGGCCAGCGGCUGCCCGCCGACUGCGACUCGGCAUCCUGUCAGAACGGCGGCACCUGCCACGCCGGCCUCUCCAGCCGUGGCCCCGUCUGUCAGUGUCCCUACGACUUCGUGGGCCGGUGGUGCGAGAUCUCCGUCCAGGAGCCCAGCCCCUCGCAGAAACACCGGCAGCUGCCCAGCCCUGUGCAGUGGCAGCUGGUGUCCCUGGGCUGCGGCAUAGCCGCGUUCGUCCUGUUGCUGCUCGCCCUGGCGCUGGCCGUCCGGCAUUUACGAUCCUCGGCCGGACACCGGCCUCAGCCGCGGCUCGCCAACGCCAUGAACAACCGCACGGACCCGCAGAGGGACAACUUGAUCGUGGCCUCGCAGCUGAAGCUGGCCGGCCUGGAGGUGAAUUGUGGGCCCGAGCGGGGCCGCCCGCAUUGCAAACUGACCAACUGCGCCGCCGAGCUGGGCCGCAAGGGGGAGGCGUCGCUGGAGCUAAAGGGCCACAAGAGCGAGCGGGGACAGCUGGAGGAAAGCUUGCCCCUGGCUGGGCCCCGCAGUGAAAAGCUGUCAUGCAGAAUAUCCACGAUAGCCUGUGCCUGUGACCUGAAGUACCACAGUAUGUCUCGCAUUGGAGAGAGCCAGCAGAACGACAUCACCACUGAGGUGUAAGGCUGACGAGGAGAGGCUGCACUCUGCGCAGGUUGCCGGCGGCUCCGCAACGCUAUUUUAUUUGUUUGUGAAAGGCACCAGUUGUCGGGCGGAGACGGAGGAUUAGGAGGUUUUAGACCCUUCUCCGAUGGCUGAACCUUGGAGACUGCAACAACUGCCCCUGUCACCGAGCGCUGGGCAAGCUGACUCCUCCUUGUGAAGAACAAGGAGCUGAGGGUGGACUUUCCUGAGGGAGCAACUGGCAGUGAGCUGGAGAUUAACAACAGACUACGUCUCAUUCACUGUCUGAGCACUUCCCUGUGACUACACAGGCAGAGAACGGUCUGGAGAGAAGAUGGGACAGACUCUAAUGUACAGACUGAGCAGAUUCCUUCAAAUCACUGGCAAAUGAGCAGCAAGACAAUCAAUAUUUUUUUAAGCCCAACUGAAUGAUGUGGUCAAGGAAGUCAUUGCUGCUGCGGGACAGAAGUCACACAAGAAGCCCACAGGUUUCCUACCUGAUCGGCACACUGAACUGCCACACAAGAUUUAGUAAAAACCUAACAUGCUUGUGAUUUUAUUGACAAUGGCUACUUAUUACUGAUAGCUGAUUACUUUAAAGCGUAAUUCAGAUUCCUGAAUGGCUAUGCUGGGACCUCAACUAAUACUUCACUGGAUUAUUAGCUCCCAUAACUGUAAUGCAUUUAAUAUUUUAGUAAUAUUUGAUAAUAUUGUAAAUAUAUUGUUUGAUUAAGCAUUCUUUGUUUACACAAUUCAUUAUGGGUUAUAUGUAAAAGAACAUGAAUGGUAUACGUCAUUACGACACGUCAUAUGUGUGCGCCUUACUCAAGAAAAGAUAAAAU
RNA transcript from Mobula hypostoma (lesser devil ray), 3226 nucleotides. It is a transcript of the gene named delta-like 4 (Drosophila), with no coding region annotated. The record is from RefSeq and is a predicted model, not a curated record. The transcript is spliced from 12 exons. NCBI's taxonomy places the organism in Eukaryota, Metazoa, Chordata, Chondrichthyes, Myliobatiformes, Myliobatidae.